RNAcentral lists this ribosomal RNA (449 nucleotides) under uncultured bacterium. RNAcentral's name for it is "partial 16S ribosomal RNA". It matches the Rfam family "Bacterial small subunit ribosomal RNA", at positions 29 to 523 of the family's 1533-position model. The record is from RNAcentral.
AACGAACGCUGGCGGCAGGCCUAACACAUGCAAGUCGAGCGAGACCUUUGGGUCUAGCGGCGGACGGGUGAGUAACGCGUGGGAAUAUGCCCUUUGGUACGGAAUAGCCUCGGGAAACUGAGAGUAAUACCGUAUGCGCCCUUCGGGGGAAAGAUUUAUCGCCAAAGGAUUAGCCCGCGUUGGAUUAGGUAGUUGGUGGGGUAAUGGCCUACCAAGCCUACGAUCCAUAGCUGGUUUGAGAGGAUGAUCAGCCACACUGGGACUGAGACACGGCCCAGACUCCUACGGGAGGCAGCAGUGGGGAAUCUUAGACAAUGGGGGCAACCCUGAUCUAGCCAUGCCGCGUGAGUGAUGAAGGCCUUAGGGUUGUAAAGCUCUUUCAGCUGGGAAGAUAAUGACGGUACCAGCAGAAGAAGCCCCGGCUAACUCCGUGCCAGCAGCCGCAGUAA